UACGAAGGGGGCUAGCGUUGAUCGGAAUUACUGGGCGUAAAGCGCACGUAGGCGGAUACUUAAGUCAGGGGUGAAAUCCCGGGGCUCAACCCCGGAACUGCCUUUGAUACUGGGUAUCUCGAGUCCGGAAGAGGUGAGUGGAAUUCCGAGUGUAGAGGUGAAAUUCGUAGAUAUUCGGAGGAACACCAGUGGCGAAGGCGGCUCACUGGUCCGGUACUGACGCUGAGGUGCGAAAGCGUGGGGAGCAAACAGG
This 253-nucleotide ribosomal RNA is filed under the name uncultured bacterium. Its description in RNAcentral is "partial 16S ribosomal RNA". It matches the Rfam family "Bacterial small subunit ribosomal RNA", at positions 524 to 776 of the family's 1533-position model. The record is from RNAcentral.